This is a small nucleolar RNA of Zingiber officinale, 107 nucleotides long. The record is from RefSeq and is a predicted model, not a curated record. NCBI's taxonomy places the organism in Eukaryota, Viridiplantae, Streptophyta, Magnoliopsida, Zingiberales, Zingiberaceae.
AAUCCAUGAUGUGGGCAUUGUCUGAGCAUGUUGUUGUAUCUAUCCCAUGCCUCAAAUAAUGAUUCAAAGUCUAACUGUCUGAAGAUUACUAUUAUAUUUCUCAUAUG